RNAcentral lists this long non-coding RNA (2256 nucleotides) under Oryzias javanicus (javanese ricefish). RNAcentral describes it as "lncRNA (ENSOJAG00000017544.1)". The record is from RNAcentral. Lineage: Eukaryota; Metazoa; Chordata; Actinopteri; Beloniformes; Adrianichthyidae.
CUGAAAGAGAGCAUAUCAAGUUUGGGAAGAUUGAUUUUUCCUCUGUUUAUCUACUGGUUCUAUUACUGGGCAUCGUCAAUUAGCAGUAAUUUAUUUAUUCAAAAUUGAAUUUUUGAGCUACUCUCAAGAGGAGCACUGGUAAGUUUACUUCAGUCUUUAUAUGGCAGCUGAAACACUUUCAUUUGCAGUUCAGAUCUGUUUCUUGAAAGCUUGAUUUAAAUAAAAAUAAAGCUAUUUUAGGCUUAAAUAACUUGUUUUUUCUUUUUCAGUUUCGCCAGUGGAAGAAACACAACUGCACCUUCCAACAUAUAAUUAAAGGUUAACAUGGAUGUCGCUCUUUUAGGAAUUUAACCCUAUUUGUGUGGAAUUUCCAAGGAUGUAGCUCUUUGGUGUUAACUGUAUACAAAUAUAUGCGUUAAAAAUUAAAGUAUAGAAAGAUUUUGCAAAUGUCUGAUGCUUUGUUUCUUUAGCUUCUAUUUAUUUAUUUCAUAUUUAUUGUUUUUAAGGAAUGUUUUCAGAUAUUUUAAGGGUAUAAAAAUACUUAUUUCAUAGCUCCAGUUAGGAAAAAAAAUAUUUAAAAGAGAAUCUCACUAUCAGUCUAAUAAAUAUUCAAAUGUUUAAAGCUUCUCAGCUGGACUUUAAAGGUUGAUCGUUUCGCUGCUCACCAGGGUAUGAGUCUGUCACUCUCUUGUUGGAAGAACUGCCCUGAUUGGUCAAACCAGCUCAUUGAAGGCGGGGCUAAGACCAAAAACGGGUCGUGAAUGGUCAAUCGGCGGAUGAGUCAUAAAGUUCAAGCAGCUUCUUCUAAGUUUCCAAGUUAAGAUGGGAAGACUGUAAUGAGUUCUCCCCCUCUGACACAAACGGAGGCGUCUGAAGUAAAAAACUCUCCCACGGAGACGGGAAUAGCCUCUAGGGGGCCAUGUCUGGCAGCAGCAGUUCCAACAGCUGGACCAUCCUCUCUUCUGAGGAAACGUCUGCAGAAACUCUGAAGCCCGUUGCACCAAACACACAACAGCAUGACGGAGGCCACGAAUCUACAGCAGGUGUCUGAAACUAAUAUUUAGACGCGUUUAUGUCUGAGGAAAAAAAACUGACCAUAAUAUUCCUAUACUAAAAGCUUUUUCUGCUCCAUUUUCUUUUUUUUUUUUUUUUUAAAGAUACGGUAAAAAUAUUUAAUGUGCUCAACUCAAACAGAAGAGAAAAGUGAAAUGUUCUUUCAAAGACGCAUUUCAAAUUUUAAUUAAAAAAAUUUAAUUUAAAUGAGUAUGUCUUUAUUUUUAUUAAAGUAACUUAUUUUAAAUUAUAGUGGUUUAGAAAGACAGCAUUGAAACACAAAUAUAACCAGCACCUGACGAAAUGAGGAAAACAAAAAUGAUUAGAUUGUUGCAACAAUUUUGAGAAAUUAUCUAAAUAAGACAAGAACCAAGUAAAGUUGAAAAAUAAUUGUAAUAAUUUGAUAGUAACACUACAGCUACAAGAUUAAAACAUUUUUUCCGGUAAUCUUCAUGAACCGCUAGAGCUCAAAUAAUAGAGAAUAAAUCAAAAAUCCUGCUGUGCACCGGAGCAAAAUCCAAGAGUGUGAUUACUGUUUUAAAACAAGACUGCAAAAAUGUAAAUCAUCUCAAUGCUUUGUUCUAUCACAUCAAUUUUUAUAUAAUCUCUUUGCAAAAACAGAUGAUUUUGCUUCUUUUAAGCUUAUGCAACAGUAAUCUGUCUAAAGAUACACCUGCACGUCGAUCAAGGUCGUGUUCUGCAGCAAUUCUGAUUGUUUUUGAAGAAAACUGCCCAUUUUAAUACCUCCUAUUUUUUUAACUCCUGGAAUAGAUGAGGCUGAAUGUUUCAUUGGUUUCUGUAACUAUGGCAAUGAGGAAAAUGUUUUUUUGAGGCGUUGAAAAGCCGGAGUUUCUUAAAUUCAGAGUGAAGGUUAGGAAAUGAAAGAAGCAAAAGCUGUUGUAAAAAAAAAAAUAAAAAAUCAGUCUCUCUGUUGUUUGUAGUAGAUAAACCACACUGUGAGGAGAACCAUAAACCACCAAAUGGUGCCGAGUCUGCUGAAGGACCCCCCGUGGAGGACUACCUAGUAAGACUGCAGUACACAUAAUACUCAGUUAUGUAAUCGGACUAUUUUGUUCAGAGGAGGGAUCUGUCUAUUUAUGCUGGAAAUAGCAUGGGAUUUUGUUUUCUCUUAUGUCCAAAUUGCUUUGUAUUUUUAGAAGGAUUUUUAUUAUGUAAAGGAUUUAUUUUUCUACUUUUGCUUCA